Molecule: transfer RNA, 57 nt
Filed under: Cavia porcellus (domestic guinea pig)
Lineage: Eukaryota; Metazoa; Chordata; Mammalia; Rodentia; Caviidae
Source: Rfam by way of RNAcentral
GGGGAUUUAGCUCAGUGGCAUAAGCGCCUGCCUUGCAAGCAGGCAGUUUGAUCCCCG